UACAGAGGGGGCAAGCGUUGUUCGGAAUUACUGGGCGUAAAGGGCGCGUAGGCGGCCUUCUAAGUCGAACGUGAAAUCCCCGGGCUCAACCCGGGAACUGCGUCCGAUACUGGAAGGCUUGAAUCCGGGAGAGGGAUGCGGAAUUCCAGGUGUAGCGGUGAAAUGCGUAGAUAUCUGGAGGAACACCGGUGGCGAAGGCGGCAUCCUGGACCGGCAUUGACACUGAGGCACGAAAGCCAAGGGAGCAAACAGG
Molecule: ribosomal RNA, 253 nt
Filed under: uncultured bacterium
Lineage: Bacteria
Description: partial 16S ribosomal RNA
Rfam family: Bacterial small subunit ribosomal RNA
Source: RNAcentral